This 500-nucleotide ribosomal RNA is filed under the name uncultured bacterium. Its description in RNAcentral is "partial 16S ribosomal RNA". It matches the Rfam family "Bacterial small subunit ribosomal RNA", at positions 30 to 523 of the family's 1533-position model. The record is from RNAcentral.
AUUGAACGCUGGCGGCAUGCCUUACACAUGCAAGUCGAACGGCAGCACGGGAGCAAUCCUGGUGGCGAGUGGCGAACGGGUGAGUAAUAUAUCGGAACGUGCCCAGUCGUGGGGGAUAACGCAGCGAAAGCUGUGCUAAUACCGCAUACGAUCUAUGGAUGAAAGCGGGGGAUCGCAAGACCUCGCGCGAUUGGAGCGGCCGAUAUCAGAUUAGCUAGUUGGUGAGGUAAAGGCUCGCCAAGGCGACGAUCUGUAGCUGGUCUGAGAGGACGACCAGCCACACUGGAACUGAGACACGGUCCAGACUCCUACGGGAGGCAGCAGUGGGGAAUUUUGGACAAUGGGCGAAAGCCUGAUCCAGCAAUGCCGCGUGCAGGAUGAAGGCCUUCGGGUUGUAAACUGCUUUUGUACGGAACGAAACGGUGAGCUCUAAUACAGUUUGCUAAUGACGGUACCGUAAGAAUAAGCACCGGCUAACUACGUGCCAGCCGCCGCAGUAA